RNAcentral lists this ribosomal RNA (253 nucleotides) under uncultured bacterium. Its description in RNAcentral is "partial 16S ribosomal RNA". It matches the Rfam family "Bacterial small subunit ribosomal RNA", at positions 524 to 776 of the family's 1533-position model. The record is from RNAcentral.
UACGUAGGCAGCGAGCGUUGUUCGGAGUUACUGGGCGUAAAGCGUGCGCAGGCGGUUUUGUAAGCCAGAUAUGAAAUCCCCGGGCUUAACCUGGGAAUGGCAUUUGGGACUGCAAGGCUGGAGUGCGGCAGAGGAGACUGGAAUUCCUGGUGUAGCAGUGAAAUGCGUAGAUAUCAGGAGGAAUACCGAUGGCGAAGGCAGGUCUCUGGGCUGACACUGACGCUCAUGCACGAAAGCGUGGGGAGCAAACAGG